Molecule: long non-coding RNA, 12336 nt
Filed under: Panax ginseng (ginseng)
Lineage: Eukaryota; Viridiplantae; Streptophyta; Magnoliopsida; Apiales; Araliaceae
Description: long non-coding RNA (PGIN_LNC009437)
Source: RNAcentral
UUCACCAUGGAUUCCGACGUAGAGCAGCUACAAUUUGUGAUUGAAAACUUCAAGAACACUAGAACACAGCCCUCCUUCCAGCGCCAAUGUUAAUGCCAGGAUCUACUGCCACGUCCCAAUCACGUAAGACGUUCUGAUCCUGCAUAGUAAACACGGUAAACACCACAAGCAUGACGGCGGUUCCGUCGGGGGAUAGCUCAGGCGUGAGAAUCAGUACAGGCGAUCACAAGGUUAACAAUGGAGGAAUAAAUAUCUAGUGACUUGAGAGCAAUAAUUUAUGAGUUACCUUUCACCGUGUGUCAUCCUUGCUUUAUAUCCCCAAAGUCCGGUUUGUCCUAUAUGCAACUGACUUUUCGGGCCCACAGCUUUCAGCCGACUAAGCCCUGUCCAAUCCUCAUUAAAUGCAAUGCAGAGAUGACAGUCAAAGUUCUAUCCCCAAUCUACACCGGUCACAGCCCAAGUGGAACCAUACUCAUCUAGUAAUUCGGCCCACUGCAUCCGGACCAAUAGGGCAAGAAUAAUCAUAACCCCAGGGAGGAGCCCAUUAAGUCUGGCCCAAUAAGGAAAAGGAUCAUGGCCCAACAGGACCCAAAUGAAAAAUGAAAGGUGGUCGAGUGUUUGUUGCUUCUUGGAGAACACUAAAUAAUGGUGGAAUUGUGGAGAUUUUGUCGUGCUUUGCAGUGAGGAAACCCAAACCCAACCCAACCGGGGAAAAUGAAAGGAAUGGAGAAUGUUGAAGACAGGCUUGCGUGAUCUCACCGACCCAAAUCCUCAGACUGAUUUCUCCUCGGCGAUGGCUCCUGCGUGAUCUCGCCGAUAGUAGACUCGUAUUCCAUCGGCGACUCAGACUGAUUUCUCCUCAGACUUUUAGGGUUUCGAUUUUGAUUUGGAAGAAGGAGUGGAGAGAGAAGGGAUGAAGGAAGAGAGAGGAGCACAUGUCAUUUCCUUUUUUUUUUCUUUUUUUUAGUACGUCCACGUCAGAUAAAUUUUUAACGGACGUGAGCAAGAUUUGACAAAAUGGCUCAAUUUAACAAUUUUAAUUAAUUCAAUUAGUUAAUUUAAAAAAUUAAAAGUUUAAAUGAGUAUUCAAUAAAAUGUGUCAAUUUCAGUGAACAAAUUAUUAGUUUUGCCAAAAAAAUUGUUAUAAAAACCACAACAAAAUAUUUUUCACUUAUAUGGUAUACUUUAAAAACGGGUAAGGAGUAUAAAACAUAUACAUAUAUAUAUGAAAACUUAUUCAAUGAUAGGCUCACCUAAGGAAUUAUAUCACAAUAAAAAAUAAAUAAUUGUAUGGACCUAAUUAUUAUUUCUAAUUGGAGUCCUAAUUAUUAACUUCAUAUAUUUUCAGAAGAGACGAUAACAAAUAUCAGUUCACAAACUUAAACAAUAAAAUACUCAUCAAAUUUCAUAACUUUAAAGAUAAAUUAUGUAAAAAGUAACAGUAAACGAUAGAGUGGUGGAGAGAGAGUCCGUAGUAGAUUGAAUGUGUAUAAAUAAAAUUUGGAAAGAAAAAAAAUAUAAAUAAAGAUUAAACACUUAAAACAUGUUUGAAAAAAAUAUUUUUUUUUACUAAAUGAGUGUUUGUAAAUUAAUAAAUUGAAAUUAACUACAUAUAUACUAGUUGAAAAUAAAAUAAAAAUCACCCGACUAUGUAGCGCUGUCAUUGGCAAUGAGUCAAUGACUUGAUGUUUAUCAGACUUUUUUUUUCGUUUCACAAAAACAAAAAGAGUCUCAUUUGUAAAUAAUUUUUAUUUCAUAAAAAGAUUGCUUUUUUUUUUAUGCAAUAUAAAAGACUAAAAGACAAAUUACACCCUAAACUUUACUCCGGUGUUGAUAUUUGCACCCCAAAGUGAAAAAGGUGACCGGUUAAGUGUGUAAAGUGUGCAAUCUGUUAUCAAUAAGUAAAGUAUGGAGUUUACUUAGACACCUUUUUCAUUUUGGGGUGCAAAUAUCAACACCGGAGUAAAGUUUAGAGUGCAAUUUGUCUUUUAGUCUUUUCUUGAAUUGUGUGCAUAAUCCAUUGAACUUGGUGCAAAUGCGAAAAUCAAAAGAGUAUGCAUACUGUUCGGGAGCAUUUUACCGACCCUCCUUUGGGCCGAAGAUUCAACACCAGAAGGGCUGGAGAGACCGAUGGGCCGAAGCCCAUGAAAGUGUCGGAGGUGUUCGGGUCGGAAUUCGAGCCUUCCGGGACCAUAGCUGAACCCGGUCUUGUGAUGUUCGGGGUCGGGUCUUUGAGUUCUUUGGGCCGAAGCCCAGAUUAGAUUAUAGGACCGUUUGGGCCUGCACAGUGGGCUCUCCUGCGUGCAGAGUCCGGGUACCUAUUCGUAUGCAUAUAAGGCAACUCCAAAGGUGGUAAUGAGAUUGGACUCUACUUGCACCUUUUAAGGAGAUUGUGUUGGACCCAAGUUAUGGUAACUACCAUACACUAGGAGUCCUAAUCCGACUGGGAGAAGGAUUCUAAGGUGGUGAGUACUAUAAAUAUGAGGCCUAGGUUAUCAUUAUGAGGUAAUACCUAUUUUUGAGCACUAAAUACUUAUCCUCCAUUGUUAAACCUUGUAACGGCCUGUACUCAUUCUCACACCGGAGCUAUCCCCCGGCGGCAUAAGCCGUCAAGCUUCUGUGUGAUCCGUUACUGUGCAGGUUCUAGCGCGUGGAUUCUGUGAUUGGACGCGCCGGCGAAACUUGGCGUUAACAUUGGCGCUAGAAGGAGGGGAGUGCUUAAAUAACAAUCACAAUCGAACCCUUUUCAGGCAAGAAACUAUGGCGAGUGUGGAGUAUGCAGUUUCCGACCGUGAAAAGGCCAAAACACACCAGACCACUCAGGUGAGAGGGUCGGUGAAAGACAGACUGGGCUCCAGAACCCAGGACGAUCAGAUGGAGCCGGCUGGCUCCCCCCGACGAAGACUCUUCCAUGAAAGCCAGCAUACCCGCAACCAGGCCAGUCGGAUGGACGAAGCCAAUUCGCGAGCGCUGGAGGCGCGGGAAAAGAGUCGUAGCCAGGGUAGUCGAGAUCAGAGAGAAUUCAUCCUGCAGAAAAAGAUGCAGCAAAACAAAGAUGCCAUAAUGACCCUACGUCUUCAGCAGGAAGAGCUCGAACUGCAGAUGGCUAACGUGCUCGGUGAGGAAGAGGCGUCCUCUAAGAGGCGCAGGCACCAUAGCCGGUCUCGGUCACCCCGAAGGGAAGGGGCUGAAAGGGAGAGAAGUAGGUAUCGAAGUCGUUCGAGGGAUGGCCGAAGCCGGAGAAGAAGCCGGUCAGCAGGACGACGUUCCGAGCACCCGGGUCGGUCUGGGCAGAGGAGGAAAGACGAGAUUCCCGAACGUGAGAAGGACAGACCCCAUUCGUCCCCUCACGAAGGAGAAUCCGACCCCCUCGCUCGAAGGGUUGCUGAAUUGGAGAAGCUGUUGUUGGUCAAGAGCCCGAUCGGAGCGCCCUCGACCUAUAUAGGGUCACCCUUCUCUCCGAAAAUUAAUCAGGAGAUAGCGGACCCCAAAAGGAAGAUGCCCCCGAUGGAGACUUAUGACGGGCUGGGGGACCCUUACGACCAUUCUGAUGGGUAUGACAGGUUGAUGACGUAUUAUGGCCACUCUGAUGCAGCCAAGUGCCACAUGUUUGCUACUACCCUGAAGAAAAGCGCCCGGGAAUGGAUGGGAACCUUGGCGUCGGGAUCGAUAAAUUCAUGGAAAGACCUUCGGGAAAAAUUUCAUGCACGGUUUGGGAGUAAUAAGAGACGGGGGAAGAUCACAGCAUCCCUCAUGCAGGUCAGGCAGAGAUCAGAUGAGAGCCUGGGGCAGUAUGUUAAGAGAUUUCGGGAGGCUGUGGGGUCGGUGGUGGAGCUGAAUUCCCCACAAGCUUUGGGAUUCUUCACAACGGGGCUUGACAUCGGAAAAUCAAAGAAGCUGAUGAAGGACCUGGUGAUCAACCCCCCGGCCGACCUGACAGAGGCCUUCCAUAGGGCCGAAGAUCACAUAGCAAUCGAGGAAGCGAUGGGGAAUUUCAAACCUCAAUCCCACGAGAAGUACCGAGAUCGGGACAAACAGAGCUAUCAGAAGUCUGACAAUCAGGGGAGGUCGGAUAGCUACAAGAAAAACUACAACGGGGGGGGGCGGGCGGUGGAAGGCCACCCUUCCCAAAUAAAGGGGUCAACAAGGUGUACACCGCACUCAAUACAGAUCGGGCCAAGAUACUGGAAGAGAUGCGAAGCAAGCCCUUUUUCGAACCAUGUCAAACGAUCCCGAAGCCAGGGAAGAGGGGUCGGAACAAGUAUUGUGCGUACCACCAGAGUCGGGGUCACACGACAGAAGAUUGCACCAACUUGAAAGACUUAAUAGAAAAGAAUGUCCAGAACGGGAAGUUGGUACAGUACGUAGUUGGCCGAGAAGGGUCGGAAGCCCCAGGAGAGGACAACAGCGAGCCCACCCGACAAGCACAGCCGCAACCGAACCCACAAGCUCGAGGAGUUAUUGAUGUGAUAUCAGGCGGGUCUGUAGGGCGUGUGACUGGCAGGAAAAGGAAUGGGCAUCUCGAAGCCGUACUAUCAUUGGCUGGGUCCUCGCCCAGAAAGGACAGGCCAUAUUCAGGCACGACCAUCUCCUUCUCAGACGACGACUACCCUACAGAACAGAUCGAACCGCAUGACGGGGCACUGGUAAUAACGGCUCAGGUCGGGCCAGUGGACAUGAAGAGGAUGAUGAUCGACAACGGGUCUUCGGUUGAUAUACUCUACACACAUGCAUACCAACGGAUGAAUCUGGGAGGAAAGAAGAUGGAAUUAGGAGGAGAGGGCCCGUUAUACGGCUUCAGUGGCGACCCGGUUCAUGUGACGGGCACAAUCACGUUACCAGUCAAGUUCGGUACGGCCCCACAGCAGACAGAAAUCAUGGUAAAAAUUUUUGUCGUACAAGUGGAUUCGGCUUACAACGCCAUUUUGGGAAGGCCUACCUUAGCGGCACUGCAAGCGGUAACAUCUAUACCCCACUUCAAAAUCAAGUUUCCGACACCGAACGGGAUAGGGGAGGUAAACGGAGAUCUCGACAUCGCCCGAAGAUGUUAUCGGAAUACCUUGAUUUCUUCAGGAGUCGGGGUCAGUAAGCAGAAACAGACGAUGACCAUCGAGAUCGAGCCGUUCACGGAAGGCAGUACUGAACCCAUGGCUCUACCAGCAGAAGAAACAGAGGAUGUUGAGUUGGUACCGGGAAAUCCAGACAAACUGGUCAAGAUCGGGGCGGGAUUAUCCGAACAGCUGCGAACGGGUCUGGUGGAAUUACUUCGGGUGUAUGCCGACAUCUUCGCCUGGGAACCUAGCGACAUGCCCGGAGUAAGUGAAUCAAUCGCAUUACAUAGACUUCAUACCGACCCGAAGAGGAAGCCAGUGAUACAGAAAAGAAGGAUCUUUGCCCCGGAAAGACAGAAGAUUAUAGACGAAGAGGUUACCAAAUUGUUAGAGGCAGGGUUCAUCUUUGAAAUUGACUAUCCCGAAUGGCUGGCGAAUGUGGUAUUGGUACAGAAGCAAAAUGGGAAGUGGAGGAUGUGCAUUGACUACACAGACCUGAACAAGGCCUGCCCAAAAGACUUCUACCCCUUACCCAACAUAGACCAGCUAAUUGAUGCCACUUCGGGGUAUGGAAUGCUGAGUUUCAUGGACGCUUUCUCAGGAUAUCACCAAAUCUCGAUGCACAAGGAGGAUACCCCGAAGACUAGCUUCAUCACUCAUCGGGCUAUAUAUGCAUAUCGGAAGAUGACCUUCGGACUACUAAACGCAGGAGCAACCUACCAACGAAUGAUGAACUUCGUGUUCCGAAAGCAGCUGGGGCGAAGUAUGGAAGUGUAUGUGGACGACAUGAUCGUCAAGAGCAUGUCAGUCCGGGAUCAUCUGGAGGACUUAGAAGACUGCUUCGAAACGGUGAGGCAACACAAACUGAGACUAAACCCGACCAAAUGCACCUUCGGAUUGGGUUCAGGAAAAUUCCUAGGAUAUCUGGUCAGUAAACGGGGAAUCGAGGCCAAUCCAGAAAAAAUCUCGGCGAUCUUAGACAUGAAAUCUCCAAAGACAUAUAAAGAUGUCCAACGGAUGACGGGCCGAAUUGCUGCCCUUCGGAGAUUCAUGUCAAGGUCAGCUGAGAGAUGUCUACCCUUUUUUGACACUCUCAAAGGCCCGAAAAAUGACAAGAGUUUCCAGUGGACUUCAGAAUGCGAAGACGCGUUCCAGGAGAUCAAAAGAUAUUUGGGUUCGGCACCAUUAUUAAUGAAACCGAUCCCCACAGAACCUUUAUACUUAUACUUGGCUGCGAGCCCAAUGGCAGUAGGGGCGGCACUAGUAAGGGAUGAGGGAGAUAAGCAAUUCCCGGUGUACUAUGUCAGCCAUGUUCUCCGAGACGCAGAAACGAGAUACCCGAACCUGGAAAAAUUCGCUUACGCCCUCAUAAUUGCUAGCAGGAAACUCAGGCACUAUUUCCAGGGUCGGUUGAUAGUGGUCUACACCGACCAACCUUUGAAGAAGAUUUUGCACAAGCCUGAAGUAUCAGGUCGGUUAGCCGCUUGGGCAAUGGAACUGACACAAUUUGUUAUAGAAUAUCGCCCCCGAACGGCAAUCAAAGGGCAGACAUUGGCUGACUUCGUGGUUGAGUGCUCUUUCACCGAACCAGAGGCGAAUAUAGUAGCCGACACACAACCAAUCCAGACCUCAUGGACUCUAUACGUGGACGGAUCGUCAACUAUGGAUGUCAGUGGAGCAGGGGUCAUCCUAACUAGCCCCGAAGGGUUCAAGGUGCAGCAAGCUAUUCGGUUUGGGUUCAAGGCCACAAAUAACGAAGCAGAGUAUGAGGCCAUCUUAGCAGGGAUACGACUGGACCGAAGCCUAGAGGUCCAGCUGUUGAUCAUCUACAGUGAUUCACAGCUGGUGGUCAAGCAGUUAUCGGGCGAAUACGAAGCCCGGGGGGCAAGAAUGACCAAAUAUUUGGUUGAGCUAAAGGAUAAACUUAUGUACUUCACUUCAUACAGUUGUCAGGGGGUGGACCGGUCAGAGAAUACGGUAGCAGAUGCCUUGGCAAGGCUGGCAACAACUGAAGCAAGCUCUUUCAAUGGAUUAGUGUACUUGGAAGUUCUGGAAAAACCGAGUGUCCCAAAAACAGAAAUCUUGGCUUUAGACCGCCUCAACUGCUGGCUCACACCUUAUAUCUCCUACUUGGCCGAUGGGACCCUCCCUUCGGACCGAAUCCUAGCCAAACAAGUCAAACACCGAAGUUCUAACUUCACCCUCAUAGAUGGAGAUCUAUACCGAAGGGCCUUUAGCUCUCCACUGCUCAAAUGAUUGACUCCUUCAGAGGCAGACUACACGCUUCGGGAGAUGCAUGAGGGCAUCUGUGGGGAUCACAUGGGAGCAAAGUCACUGGCGCAUAAGAUUUUGAGGCAGGGGUAUUACUGGCCAACUAUCUACACUGAAGCAAAGGAAUUCGUUAGGAGGUGUCCCAAGUGCCAGCUGAACAGCAAUAUCCCGCACCAACCCCCCGAGGAACUAUAUUCCGUCUUGUCCCCGAUCCCCUUUGCUGUGUGGGGAAUCGACAUUCUGGGGCCUCUGCCAAAGGCUAAGGGACAAGUUAGCUUUGUGAUCGUGGCUAUUGAUUACAUGACGAAGUGGGUCGAAGCCAAACCACUGCAAAAGAUCACCGAACAGGAGUGUUUGAAGUUUUUUAAAGAAGGGGUAGUCUACCGGUUCGGUAUCCCGAUGGCAGUGGUCUCGGACAAUGGCAGACAGUUUGUGGGAUCUAAGUUUGAAGGCUUUUUGAAAGAAUUAGGGAUCCAGCAUCGCAAGACUUCGGUUGCCCAUCCUCAGUCAAACGGCCAAGUGGAAGUGACCAAUCGAACCCUACUCAAUGGGAUUAAACGCAGAUUAGAUGCAUUAAAGGGUCGGUGGCCCGAAGAACUGCUAUCUGUUUUGUGGGCGUAUCGAACUACCCCAAGGACUACAACUGGAGACUCCCCAUUCAGGUUGGCAUACGGGACCGAUGCACUCAUUCCUGUUGAGAUCGGAUCUCCAACUCUUCGAGUCAGCCAAUACAAAGAGCUAUAUAAUGACGAGGGUUUGAGAACAAAUUUAGAUUUGUUAGAUGAAGUUCGGGAUUCAGCCAUGAUGAGGUUGGCGAUCUAUCAGCAGCGAACAGCCCGACACUAUAAUCAGAAGGUGAAGACAAGGAGGUUUGCAAUAGGAGAUUUGGUCCUCCGGGAGUCGGAGGCAUCAACCCCCCAAAACACUGGCAAGCUAAUGCCCAACUGGGAGGGGCCUUAUGAGGUGGUAGGAGUGCCGAAGCCAGGAACCUACCGGCUUCGAGCAAUGGACGGUUCGGAGGUAAAGAAUACAUGGCAUGCUGGAAGACUUAGAAAAUUUUACCAGUAAUAGUUAUGUCGUUCUUAUUUUUAUCCAUGUAAUCGUUUCAAUUCAAAUGAUAUAAAUGAAAGUUCCCAUUCCUGUCAAUGUUUAACUUCAUCUAUAUUCAUAUAUUUCGUUACUACUUGAACAGACAUGCUUCGGGCACUAUCCGAUCAAGAGCUUCGGAAAAACUCCAUGAUCGAGAUAAGUCCCGAGCAUAACUGACCAAGAGUUUAAUAAAUGCUUAAAGUACAGAUCUCGAGCACUAUCCGAUCAAGAGGUUCGGGCAGACACCACUGAUCGAGAUAAGUCUCGGGUAUAACUGUUGACCCUCUACAAUCAGAUAAACCCUAAAGACGAUCCGACCAGAAGGUUCGGGUGGACAUAACUGAUCGAGAUCAGUCAUAAGUGAAACUGACAAUAAACAUUCAUGGGCAAAGAGUAUAUCUUAUUUAUACUUAGAAAAUUUCUACUUUACAAACCCGGUCGCUUACGAUUCGGGCUAAGUACAAAAAAAAAACGAAGAAAGAAAAUUUUCUUUAUUACAAAAUCCUACAUAUCUACUCGGCAGGAGGGUCAUCUUCAGCAACAGACUCGUCAUCCGAAGAGUCAAGGAUGGAGACAUCGAGCCCAGCAGCCAGCAACUUUGCCUUAGCCUUUUCCCGAUGCGUCUCAUACCCUUCACCAAACUGGGCUAUGACCUUAUCGUUCAAGGCUUCCGAUUCCUCAUACUCGGUGAUGGCUUGCUGACUGGCUUCGAUUACCUUCUCGGGAAAGGCAUUGACAGUAGCAGUCAAGUUGUUGUUCUCCUUGAUCAAAAACAUCAUCUUGUCGUGCAUCUCGGAGAACUUGUGUGUAAUACUGUCAAUAGCGUUCUCCCGAUCCUUGACAUCUUGGAGCAGACGACCCCUCUCUGCCAGAAGAGCACUGUGCUCAUGCUCCAGCUCUUCGACCCGGCCCUCCGCUCGGGCCGCCUGGCGUCGGGUCUCAGCAUGAGAAUCCCGUUCCUUCUUCAGGUCCGACUGCAGACCCCGAACUUCAGCCUCCAGCAACUCCACCUCCGUCCCAAGCUGAACUUCUUUCUUUGUGGAUCGGGCGAGGGGAGGGAUGGCUCGGGCAAGUAUAGCGUUGGCCUGCAGUAAACACACACAUCAGUACAAGAAGGAAAGGUCAAAGUUAAGAGCAGCAAUCAGAUUGACAAAGGGAAUUACCUGGGUCUGAGCUCGAACAUAGGCCACCAAGAACUGAUCGGGAGAGUACCCUUUAAACCGGUCAUCGUCACCAGGUAGUUUGAAGUGAUCGAAGAGGGUAAAGGGGAAGACCUCCGACGGGCUCUUGGGCCAACAGGUGGUCGGUGAUCCCCGAGAAGAGCUGGGACCGGAAGAAGGAGUGGCGGAACGGUCCAGACCGGGGACCACCAUCUCACCUGUCGGCUGAUCGGAACCUUCCGACAACCGAGGUCUCUUUGAUUGAGGUUCAGGAAGAACCUCUUCGGUGUCUUCCGAGUCCUCGAUCGCCUCGGUUGACGGAGGGGGCGGCGGAAGAGUCGGCUUCGGCAGCGAAGGCGGAGCGACUUUUGUAGGCGCUUUAAUGGUCGGCUUGGAGGGCUUCUUGGACUUUUUUAGUAAAGCCGCCUUCUCCGCGCGGCUCAUCUUCAGCGCCCCCCUUUGUGUGGUCGGGGGCUCGGGCCCCGAAGUGGACCCCAGCGACAGUUCGCUGAUCGGGACCGUAUCCUCCUCAGGAACAUCGUCGGUCACCGGGGGUCGGAUGAACCCGGGGGUGACGGUGGCAGGGAUGAAGGCGUCGACAACGCCCUCGGGCUUGAAAAUAGUCACUGCACAGGGACAAAUGGGUUAAGGCAUGGAAAGCUUCAGAAAAUAGGAGGAAAAAUAAUGAAAAACAGAAAGAUACUCACAGCCAUGUUUGUACAACCAGGCUUCGUUCAUCAGAAGCCCCAGAUUCCAUUGGGUCCUUUGCCAUUGCUUGUAGAACGUUUUGAAGGCAUCGGCUCGGCCCUUCGGGAACUUCGAAAUCUUAGCCGCCUGAUCGGCUGGAUGGGCCCAGGGGGGAAGGAGUUGGAGGUCGGUCCCCUUGGCAAAAAAUCACUGUUCAUGCCACCCCUUGUUGCUUGAAGGGGUCUUAAUCGGGACGGUGCGGUUGGGGCGUUUGUUGAGUUGUCGAAGACCGGGCUCUUUCGAACCACUAACGGUGAACAGGGCAAAGAAUACAUCGAGCCCGGGACUAAGGCCCACCUCCUGGCAGACGGCUAUGAAAGAGAUUAAGUGGAUGUACGCGUUCGGCACGAGCUGCGCGAACCCGACUCCCACAAAGCUCAAGAAAGAGGAAAUGAAAUCGUGAAGGGGGAACCGAACCCCGUACUUUAAAACGUACAGGGGGACGGUCACCCACUCGCCCUCGGGACGCCAAAACAUCUUCUCAUCAGGCAUAGGCACCCGAAGUUGGUAUUCUUCAGGGAUCUUAAAAAGGGUCCGGAUGUCAGAAAUUUGUGAGGGGGUGAUGGUGGAAGGAGUGUGAAGGUGAGAAAACUCCUCCGAGGAACAGUAUGCAUUUCGAAUCCUAGCCUCGGCGUCAACCGAACUAGGCAGGAUCGAAAGAAUGUCGUCGGCAGGGGCAUCCUGCAGUACGACCUCUAGAAGGUCGCCGGUGGUGACGGCGGAGGUAGUGGUGAUAGGCUCAGUGGCCGGAAUAGUACUGGAUUUGGCCAUUUAGAAAGAAUGUGAUGCAAAUAAGAAGUUAUGGAAGGGAGUUAAGCAAAAAUAGCACUCAAGUGACAGUACAGGGGAGGAAAAUGGUGCAGAUUGGGUAAGAGAUAAGCUCGCCGGAAAUCGCCUUGCCGGAGAAUUUGAAAGCAAAGAGUCAGUAAAAGUGAUAAUGAGGGGGGAAGGGGAGUUUUUAUAAGGAGUACGGCACGGAACCCCAAGGCGGCUAUUAAAUACUGGAGGUGGGCCCAGGCGUGAAAAGGCGUGCAACGUUUCAAAUACCCAGAAGUGACUGUACGGCUUCCACAGACAGUUCAUCAUUAGCUGUCAUGACCGUUCAAGUCCUGACCUUUCAAGUCUCCAAUCAUAAAUAUGUUAUGAUUAGAGACUGGGGGGCAAUGUUCGGGAGCGUUUUACCGACCCUCCUUUGGGCCGAAGAUUCAACACCAGAAGGGUUGGAGAGACCGAUGGGCCGAAGCCCAUGAAAGUGUCGGAGGUGUUCGGGUCGGCAUUCGAGCCUUCCGGGACCAUAGCUGAACCCGGUCUUGUGAUGUUCGGGGUCGGGUCUUUGAGUUCUUUGGGCCGAAGCCCAGAUUAGAUUAUAGGACCGUUUGGGCCUGCACAGUGGGCUCUCCUGCGUGCAGAGUCCGGGCACCUAUUCAUAUGCAUAUAAGGCAACUCCAAAGGUGGUAAUGAGAUUGGACUCUACUUGCACCUUUUAAGGAGAUUGUGUUGGACCCAAGUUAUGGUAACUACCAUACACUAGGAGUCCUAAUCCGACUGGGAGAAGGAUUCUAAGGUGGUGAGUACUAUAAAUAUGAGGCCUAGGUUAUCAUUAUGAGGUAAUACCUAUUUUAAGCACUAAAUACUUAUCCUCCAUUGUUAAACCUUGUAACGGCCUGUACUCAUUCUCACACCGGAGCUAUCCCCCGGCGGCACAAGCCGUCAAGCUUCUGUGUGAUCCGUUACUGUGCAGGUUCUAGCCCGUGGAUUCUGUGAUUGGACGCGCCGACAAAAUUUGGCGUUAACACAUACAGUUCAAAAAAAUAUUCUCUUGAACUGUGUGCUUAGCAUGUGUCCUAAGAACACAUGUUAAGAGGACCCAUAAAUUUAUUACGCCUAGGAUGUUUACAAACUCAUCUUUCUUAUGUCCUUAAUUAGCCCAUCUAGACCAGAAUAAGAUGAUCCACCUUCACAAACACUUUGUCUAGCCAAUUUGGCCAUCACAUUGGCAGAUUCCUGAAAUUCAUCUU